Podarcis lilfordi (Lilford's wall lizard) is the source of this 84-nucleotide non-coding RNA. The record is from the annotation of a GenBank genome assembly. Lineage: Eukaryota; Metazoa; Chordata; Lepidosauria; Squamata; Lacertidae.
GGUAUGGAAUCCGCUGGUAUUCAUGAGACAACCUACAACAGCAUCAUGAAGUGCGAUAUUGACAUCAGAAAGGACCUGUACGCC